This is a long non-coding RNA of Gadus macrocephalus (Pacific cod), 4192 nucleotides long. RefSeq lists it as uncharacterized. The transcript is spliced from 3 exons. NCBI's taxonomy places the organism in Eukaryota, Metazoa, Chordata, Actinopteri, Gadiformes, Gadidae. The record is from RefSeq and is a predicted model, not a curated record.
CCGCUAAAAACAACAGAGGCCACGUCGCUUUACAGUAGAUCCGGGUGACAUUCACCGCGGGGAUAGGACCUCUGUGUCGGCUCGGUGUGCGAGUGGAUCGGUAACGUCGGUGUUAUUAUCGCGCUAUUACGGAUGAGUACAAUAUUUGGGUUAGUUAACGGUACAUGGUAGCGCUACUUAGGCUAGCUACCAUUAGCUUCGAUCCCCGUUAGCUUCUGAUGCUGUCAGACACACCUCCUCCGACCGGCUCCACAGCGACCUGACGGUACGAGCCUGGUUAGUCUGGGAGGAACCAGUCACUGCUGAAGUACCAGUCACUACUGAAGUACCAGUUACUACUGAAGUACCAGUUACUACUGGAAUACCAGUAAAGCCAGCGGCCUGCCGGCUGGUGUGUGGCCGCAUCACCCCUUCAGGCCAACCCGCUGCGACAGCUGCUUCACGCGAGGCUGUGCCCCCUCCUGGGUCCCCCGGGGCGCUGGGGGUCCGCCGGCGGUGAAGUAGCACAGUAAAGUGUAACUAUACCAUUGGUGUAAAUAUUAUCUCAAUGUCAUGUACAUGAAGGUCCAAACACAACAACAAGUAGAGCAGGGGACGUUGUGGAUAUGACGUACAGCAUGUCUAUGUGAUGGACACAGCCGCUCCCGGCAUGCUUCUGUUUCUGAUGCUUUUCAUUUAAAAACAUUUUAAGGUGUGUGUGUGAGAGCGAAAGAGAGAGUGUGUGUUUGUGUGUACUAUGAGUGUGUGUACGUACUAUGAGCUUAAUAGUGUGUGUGUCUGUGUGUGGGAGAGAGGGCUGGAUAUCUCUUGGUACAUAUCAUCUUAGCUGUCCUGACUUGUUGUGAGUCGGUUGCAUACUUAGAGGAUGACGUCGGCAGCGUGAGAGAGCGUCACACUCCAAGAAUACUAGUCUAACGAUCCACAGUACCACAAUAGAAUGUUACCCCAGAAACCCUAACUAUAGCCCUCCUGAAUACCACAUUACUAUACUAUAGCAGGAUACUACAGUAUAAUGCUCUACAAUAAUACAAAAAACAAUAGAAUACUAAAUAAUGACUCAAUACUACAAUAGAGUCUUUAAGAAUACUGUUGGAAUAUUACUCUAUAUGAUCUACAAUACUCUAGAAUACUCUGGAGUCCUCCAGUCGAACACUGUGUCGUCCCCUGGUGUGUGGGGUCCCGGUGCCUCUGUCCUGGGGUGGUCCGGCCUGUGGACAUGGUGGACCACCACGGCUCCUUCACCAACAUGACAGAGUACUUUAGGGCAAGAUUCUCAAGCUGGAUUUACUGGAUGUUGAUGAGCAUUAGGGCCCUUGCCCUGUGGUGGCGUAUGUCCUGUGGUUGCCAGGUUGGGUAUGUUUACUCUCUAAACUCAGUACAGAGUGGACUCCAAGAAGUUCUUCACACCUGCCUGAUAAAAUAGGGAUGUUCUAUUUCCUAUUUUCUAAGUCUUUCUACUGGUUCUCCUGGAAGCUGCCCAGUACCAACCAUUGUCUGCUACGGUUGGACACUUCAGCUGCCAACAAUCACAGGCUCCUACUGGGUGUUCACCAGUUCCAGAUGAUGGUUGCUUACCUGUAGAGUAGCUAACUAACCAACACUCUGACCAUUCUACCAGAUCAGACUAGAGGUUCACAACAGGACCACCAGAUGAUGGUAGUUCAGAGAGGAGGUCUGCAGGGGGGUCCAGCUGGCUCUCCUGGGCCCCGGUACUAAAAGUAGACCGACCAGGAAUAACAACGCUCCGCUCACUCACUCAUGACGGAGUGUGUUUGAACCUGAUAGCAGAUCCAGGGGAAGCAACUGUUGAUUCAGACAUGAGACAGGUGGUUCUGCUGAACCCUCUGAUACCAGGAAACACCUCCACGCCCCAGCUCAUGAGUCAUGUUCACAUCUGACACUCAGCUAGUAACUCAGCCAGCCAGCCAGCCAGUCAGUCAGUCACAUCUGAUACUCAGCCAGUAACUCAGCCAGCCAGUCAGUCAGUCAGUCACAUCUGAUACUCAGCCAGUAACUCAGCCAGCCAGUCAGUCAGUCAGUCACAUCUGAUACUCAGCCAGUAACUCAGCCAGCCAGUCAGUCAGUCAGUCACAUCUGAUACUCAGCCAGUAACUCACUCAGUCAGUAAGUUGCUCCCUCACUUAGUCAGUCAGUCAGUCAUAACAAUGCUACAGGGCUGUAGCGGUAGCACCAGCUGUAGUAAACAGUACUCCAGUGGUAACCCUGACACCUGAAACCGUCUCCAGACCAGCUACCUCAGGAGACCCCUGUAGACCGGGCCACCCUCCCGCUGAGGUGGGUAGCAUCUCCCGCGUCUCGGUCUUUGACCAGUGGGUUUGGGUUUCCGCUGGUUUCGGUGGACUAUGUGGGACCACGGUUAGCCCGGGGGGAACCACAAGAAUCCGGGGCUCCUGUUUGAUUGGCUCCUCCCGUUCAGGUCGGGCCAAUCAGAACCCUUGAAACGAUAUGGGGCGGGUUUGACACGAUGACUGAAUAGCGGAGCAGCCUAUGGGAGCACUCUUUUAAGAAACAACCAAGAUGGCGGCCGCUGAUUAGUCACACACAUCUCAUCGCUCUGAUUGGCUGUCGGUCUUUCCACUUGCUCCCCGGGGCUGUUGGGUCUGUUUCUGUUGUCUCGGAACUGGUUCCAGACGGGCGCGCAGUGGAGGGUUGGCCUGGCGGGGUCGGGCUAGCCCUCCCUGUGGGUCCGGUCAGUCUGACGACCGGACCCCCCAGCGCCAGGUGCCUCCACGGGGGAUGGGGGGCCGGGGUCAGACAGGGGGCGCAGGUACUCUGCUGCUGGUCUCGCGCUCUCUCGCUCUCUCUUUCUCGCUCUCUGUCUCUGUCUCGUCUCUCUGUGGCUCUCUGUCUGUCUGUCUGUCUGUCUGUCUGUCUGUCUGUCUGUCUCUGUGUCUGUCUGUCUGUCUCUCUCUCUUGGUCUGUCUGUCUCUUUCUCGCUCUCUGUCUGCUCUGUCUCUGUCUGUCUGUCUGUCUGUCUGUCUGUCUGUCUGUCUGUCUGUCUGUCUGUCUGUCUGUCUGUCUGUCUGUCUGUCUGUCUGUCUGUCUGUCUGUUUGUCUCUCUCUGUGUCUGUGUCUGUGUCUCUUUCUCGCUCUCUGUGUCUGCCAUGUCUCUCUCUGUAAUUGUCUCUCUCACUGUCUCUCUGUCUCCAUCUCUCGGUCUCUCUCUCUUGCAUAUACACUGAGAGUAGACACACACAUAUUUCCUUGUUGUCAUGACGACACUAGACGAAGAAGGGACCCCCGGUCAAGUGUGUGUGUGUGUGUGUGUGUGUGUGUGUGUGUCACACUGUGUCUUGCAUGCCUUCAGUGUUUGGUUUCAUAGCCAGCUGGAUGGACAGGCAGCCAGAUGAUGAUGAUGUUAAUCUUGGACCUGGGGGCCUACUAUAAGUGUGUUAUCAUCCAGAUAAAUCACACAUUUCAACCAAAAUAACCGAGAAGGCUUUUGGUAUAUGACAGCUUUGUUCUGGAAGAGUUCUGGUAUAUAACAGCUGUGUUCUGGAAGGGUUCUGGUAUAUAACAGCUGUGUUCUGGAAGGGUUCUCGUGUAUUACAGCUGUGUGUUCUAGAAGAGUUCUGGUAUACAAUAGCUGUGUGUUCUAGAAUCUGUAUGUCUUUUUACAGCUGUGUGUCCUAUAAAACUAUAAAAAGGUUUCGGCUCACAGCCCUGUCUGCAUGCAAGGCGGAAGUCUGACUGAAAUUUAGCUCAAAGGAUUUCUGUAUCAUUUAUUCGCUGUGUCUGUUUCCAUUGCACACAAAUAUGAAGUGAAGAAAGUGGAGGCCGUUGUUCAGCCGGAUCUGAGCUGAGGUCGGCGUGAAGCUUCCCUUCCGCUUUGAACACUCUGCCUUUCACAGUCUGCCUGACCACCGAUCAGGUCUGGAUCAGGUCCCGAUCGUAGUCUGACCUUUGGACCCCUGUUCCUCUCCCGGGACGCUAUGGCCACGCUACAGGGCGACGCCAGGGAGAGCUGUUAACGACAAUCCGUUAAGGGUGCAAAGUGUACAGUGCUUUGUACACAGCCGAAGGAUGUGUCCUCAAAAGCCCCUAUGGACAACUGCAAGCAAAUCCCCGCUGGGCUGUAAAGGCAUAGCACCACCAGAGGGCGACAGAACUCCUGGGAGUCAAUGUCGAUCAUGGAAAUAACAUAUCCAGCUACAGGUGUGCCCCCGACCCC